RNAcentral lists this ribosomal RNA (492 nucleotides) under uncultured bacterium. Its description in RNAcentral is "partial 16S ribosomal RNA". It matches the Rfam family "Bacterial small subunit ribosomal RNA", at positions 29 to 507 of the family's 1533-position model. The record is from RNAcentral.
AGUGAACGCUGGCGGUAGGCCUAACACAUGCAAGUCGAACGGCAGCACAGUAAGAGCUUGCUCUUACGGGUGGCGAGUGGCGGACGGGUGAGGAAUACAUCGGAAUCUACUUUUUCGUGGGGGAUAACGUAGGGAAACUUACGCUAAUACCGCAUACGACCUACGGGUGAAAGCAGGGGAUCUUCGGGCCUUGCGCGAUUGAAUGAGCCGAUGUCGGAUUAGCUAGUUGGCGGGGUAAAGGCCCACCAAGGCGACGAUCCGUAGCUGGUCUGAGAGGAUGAUCAGCCACACUGGAACUGAGACACGGUCCAGACUCCUACGGGAGGCAGCAGUGGGGAAUAUUGGACAAUGGGCGCAAGCCUGAUCCAGCCAUACCGCGUGGGUGAAGAAGGCCUUCGGGUUGUAAGGCCCUUUUGUUGGGAAAGAAAAGCAGCAGGUUAAUACCCCGCUGUUCUGACGGUACCCAAAGAAUAAGCACCGGCUAACUUCGUG